RNAcentral lists this ribosomal RNA (274 nucleotides) under uncultured bacterium. RNAcentral describes it as "partial 16S ribosomal RNA". It matches the Rfam family "Bacterial small subunit ribosomal RNA", at positions 523 to 796 of the family's 1533-position model. The record is from RNAcentral.
AUACGGAGGGGACAAGCGUUAUUCGGAAUCACUGGGCGUAAAGGACGCGUAGGCGGGUUAUUAAGUCGGGUGUGAAAUCCUACAGCUCAACUGUAGAACUGCAUUCGAAACUGAUAACCUAGAGUAUGGAAGGGGCAGGUGGAAUUAGUGGUGUAGGGGUAAAAUCCGUAGAUAUCACUAGGAAUACCGAAAGCGAAGGCGACCUGCUGGGACAUUACUGACGCUGAGGCGUGAAAGCGUGGGGAGCAAACAGGAUUAGAAACCCUAGUAGUCC